AAGAUUUCGGUUUUUAUCUUAGUGGCGCACGGGUGAGUAACACGUGAAUAACCUGACCCAAAGAGGGGGAUAACACCUGGAAACAGGUGCUAAUACCGCAUAAGACCACAAUGUCGCAUGACGAAGGGGUCAAAGAAAAUCGCUUUGGGAGGGGUUCGCGUCCCAUUAGGUAGUAGGCGGGGUAAUAGCCCACCUAGCCGACGAUGGGUAGCCGAGCUGAGAGGCUGAUCGGCCACACUGGAACUGAGACACGGUCCAGACUCCUACGGGAGGCAGCAGUGGGGAAUAUUGGGCAAUGGGCGCAAGCCUGACCCAGCAACGCCGCGUGAGGGAAGAAGGUUUUCGGAUUGUAAACCUCUGUCGCAGAAGACGAAGGAAGUGACGGUAUUCUGUGAGGAAGCCCCGGCUAACUACGUGCCAGCAGCCGCGGUAAUACGUA
This 439-nucleotide ribosomal RNA is filed under the name uncultured bacterium. Its description in RNAcentral is "bacterial SSU rRNA". It matches the Rfam family "Bacterial small subunit ribosomal RNA", at positions 74 to 529 of the family's 1533-position model. The record is from RNAcentral.